This 452-nucleotide ribosomal RNA is filed under the name uncultured bacterium. Its description in RNAcentral is "bacterial SSU rRNA". It matches the Rfam family "Bacterial small subunit ribosomal RNA", at positions 354 to 796 of the family's 1533-position model. The record is from RNAcentral.
GUCGAGAAUCUUUUGCAAUGCCCGAAAGGGUGACAAUGCGACGCCGCGUGUGCGAUGAAGGUCUUCGGAUUGUAAAGCACUGUCAGUCGGGAGGAAGGUGACGCUAUCUAACAGAUGGAGUCGCUUGACAGUACCGGCAGAGGAAGCCACGGCUAACUCCGUGCCAGCAGCCGCGGUAAUACGGAGGUGGCAAGCGUUACUCGGAUUGAUUGGGUGUAAAGGGCGUGUAGGUGGUGAAUUAAGUCGAUUGUGAAAUCCCUUGGCUUAACCAAGGAACUGCAUUCGAAACUGAUUUGCUUGAGUGAUAGAGAGGUAAGCGGAAUUCCCGGUGUAACAGUGAAAUGUGUAGAUAUCGGGAGGAACACCAGUGGCGAAGGCGGCUUACUGGCUAUCAACUGACACUGAAACGCGAGAGCUAGGGGAGCAAACAGGAUUAGAUACCCCGGUAGUCC